CUACGGGAUGCACCAGUGAGGAAUAUUGCACAAUGGGGGGAACCCUGAUGCAGCAACGCCGCGUGGAGGAUGACGCAUUUCGGUGUGUAAACUCCUUUUAUAUGUCAAGAAAAUGACGGUAGCAUAUGAAUAAGCACCGGCUAACUCCGUGUCAGCAGCCGCGGUAAUACGGAGGGUGCAAGCGUUACUCGGAAUCACUGGGCGUAAAGGACGCGUAGGCGGGUUGGAAAGUCAGGUGUGAAAUCCUACAGCUUAACUGUAGAACUGCACUUGAAACUUCUAAUCUAGAGUAUGGGAGGGGGAGAUGGAAUUAGUGGUGUAGGGGUAACAUCCGUAGAUAUCACUAGGAAUACCUAAAGCGAAGGCGAUCUCCUGGAACAUUACUGACGCUAAGGCGUGAAAGCGUGGGGAGCAAACAGGAUUAGAUACCCCAGUAGUC
RNAcentral lists this ribosomal RNA (439 nucleotides) under uncultured bacterium. Its description in RNAcentral is "partial 16S ribosomal RNA". It matches the Rfam family "Bacterial small subunit ribosomal RNA", at positions 339 to 795 of the family's 1533-position model. The record is from RNAcentral.